Molecule: ribosomal RNA, 115 nt
Filed under: Clostridium sporogenes
Lineage: Bacteria; Bacillati; Bacillota; Clostridia; Eubacteriales; Clostridiaceae
Description: partial 16S ribosomal RNA
Rfam family: Bacterial small subunit ribosomal RNA
Source: RNAcentral
CCGUGAGGUAACCGUAAGGAGCCAGCGGCCGAAGGUGGGAUUAGUGAUUGGGGUGAAGUCGUAACAAGGUAGCCGUAGGAGAACCUGCGGCUGGAUCACCUCCUUUCUAAGGAGA